Molecule: small RNA, 904 nt
Filed under: Pongo abelii (Sumatran orangutan)
Lineage: Eukaryota; Metazoa; Chordata; Mammalia; Primates; Hominidae
Description: processed transcript
Source: RNAcentral
GGAGGAAGGGGUCAUGGGUACCCCCCUAUUCAGUCUGAGAUGAGAAGUGGAGAAGGGCCGGCACCUGCCAGGAGAACAGGCAGUGGCAGUGUGACCAAGAACCAUGCCUGGUGGAUCCAGACAUGAUCAAAGCCAUCAACCAGGGCAACUAUGGCUGGCAGGCUGGGAACCACAGCGCCUUCUGGGGCAUGACCCUGGAUGAGGGCAUUCGCUACCGCCUGGGCACCAUCCGCCCAUCUUCCUCGGUCAUGAACAUGCAUGAAAUUUAUACAGUGCUGAACCCAGGGGAGGUGCUUCCCACGGCCUUCGAGGCCUCUGAGAAGUGGCCCAACCUGAUUCAUGAGCCUCUUGACCAGGGCAACUGCGCAGGCUCCUGGGCCUUCUCCACAGCGGCUGUGGCAUCCGAUCGUGUCUCAAUCCAUUCUCUGGGACACAUGACGCCUGUCCUGUCGCCCCAGAACCUGCUGUCUUGUGACACCCACCAGCAGCAGGGCUGCCGCGGUGGGCGUCUCGAUGGUGCCUGGUGGUUCCUGCGUCGCCGAGGGGUGGUGUCUGACCACUGCUACCCCUUCUCGGGCCGCGAACGAGACGAGGCUGGCCCUACGCCCCCCUGCAUGAUGCACAGCCGAGCCAUGGGUCGGGGCAAGCGCCAGGCCACUGCCAGCUGCCCCAACAGCCAUGUUAAUAACAAUGACAUCUACCAGGUCACUCCUGUCUACCGCCUUGGCUCCAACGACAAGGAGAUCAUGAAGGAGCUGAUGGAGAAUGGCCCUGUCCAAGCCCUCAUGGAGGUGCACGAGGACUUCUUCCUAUACAAGGGAGGCAUCUACAGCCACACGCCAGUGAGCCUUGGGAGGCCAGAGAGAUACCGCCGGCACGGGACCCACUCAGUCAAGAUCACAGG